UUUAAUCACUUUUGCUCAUGGAGGUUCAAGAACACUUUAAACUCUUGAUUUUAAACAAUGGAAUUUUUAUGCAAAAUGGUGAUGAUUAAGAUACUAAUCAAGUCAAGAAAGAAUAAUAAUGCAAAAAAAAUUCAAAUAAAUGAAAAUUAAUUCACAUUUAAUUUAUUUUUGUUCAUGUAGGUUCAGGAACAUUUUAAACUCUUGAUAUUGUAUCAAUGGAGUUUCCAUACAAAAUGAUGAUGAUUAAGGUACUAAAUAAAUGAAGCAAGAAUAAAAAU
This 278-nucleotide long non-coding RNA is filed under the name Lathyrus oleraceus (garden pea). RNAcentral describes it as "Pisum sativum (pea) long non-coding RNA (PSAT_LNC005818)". Lineage: Eukaryota; Viridiplantae; Streptophyta; Magnoliopsida; Fabales; Fabaceae. The record is from RNAcentral.